This 688-nucleotide non-coding RNA is filed under the name Schistocephalus solidus. RNAcentral describes it as "Eukaryotic large subunit ribosomal RNA". It matches the Rfam family "Eukaryotic large subunit ribosomal RNA", at positions 2424 to 2992 of the family's 3401-position model. Lineage: Eukaryota; Metazoa; Platyhelminthes; Cestoda; Diphyllobothriidea; Diphyllobothriidae. The record is from Rfam by way of RNAcentral.
AAGAAGACUCGGAAUCUGCCAAGAAACAUAGUGGGCGUAGUAAUAAGUGGGAGAAGGGAAUCGAACCUCGGAGUAUCUCACACGACAGUGAAAAACCCCUCCUAUCAUUGUUUCUUUACGUGUUCAAGAAGUCGGAACUAUCCAGUUGACACCAAGCACACUGUGGUGAGUUGAUCUAACACUGUGUGCGACCGGCGUCCCGGUCGCAACUGUCUGGCCAGGGUUACGGAUGUGCGUGCAUUGCCCGCUGCUAUCUGUAGGUUAUUGCCGCAAGGUGGCAGACUUCGGCCGGUGGGUGCGUGCGCCCGGUCUUGGUGCUAUCAGGCAGGUUUGCCGAAUUGUGACCCGACCUGCUAGGACCGUGUUAGGCUGGAGCGGUACAUCUGUCAAAUCAUAAAACAGGGGUCCCAAGGUGAGCUAGGAAAGGACAGAAACCCAGUGUAGAGUAAAAGGGUCAUAGCUUAGUUGAUUAAGACUUCCAGUACGAACACGGACCAUGAAUAUGUGCUCUAGCGAUCCUUUUGAUCAAUUAAUAUUCAGAGUUCGAAGCAAGAGGUGUCAGAAAAGUUAAAACAGGGAUAACUUGCUUGUAGUGGCCAAGCGUUCAUAGUGAUGUCGCUUUUGAUCGUUCACUAAGGGUCGGGUAAGUGAGCUGAAGUGAGACUGUCAUGAGACAGGUUAGUUUUAC